Molecule: ribosomal RNA, 240 nt
Filed under: uncultured Lactobacillus sp.
Lineage: Bacteria; Bacillati; Bacillota; Bacilli; Lactobacillales; Lactobacillaceae
Description: partial 16S ribosomal RNA
Rfam family: Bacterial small subunit ribosomal RNA
Source: RNAcentral
UAACCUGCCCAAGAGAUCGGGAUAACACCUGGAAACAGAUGCUAAUACCGGAUAACAACAGAUGAUGCCUAUCAACUGUUUAAAAGAUGGUUCUGCUAUCACUCUUGGAUGGACCUGCGGUGCAUUAGCUAGUCGGUAGGGUAACGGCCUACCAAGGCGAUGAUGCAUAGCCGAGUUGAGAGACUGAUCGGCCACAUUGGGACUGAGACACGGCCCAAACUCCUACGGGAGGCAGCAGCC